AUAUCUUUCUCGGCCUUUUGACUAAGAUCAAGUGUAGUAUUUGUUCUUAUCAGUUUAAUAUCUGAUACGUGGACCAUGUGUCCACAAUGAUAUUAAAUUUAUUUUUUAUGAAAAAGGGUCCAUCAUAAUGGCUUGCCAUUGGGACAAGCCAUUGGGACCCUUGGUUGCCCAGUGCGUUGCAUUAUUGCCUGGGCAGGUGCACC
Molecule: small nuclear RNA, 203 nt
Organism: Triticum dicoccoides
Lineage: Eukaryota; Viridiplantae; Streptophyta; Magnoliopsida; Poales; Poaceae
Product: U2 spliceosomal RNA
Exons: 1
Source: RefSeq, a predicted model, not a curated record